RNAcentral lists this transfer RNA (61 nucleotides) under Cornufer vitianus (Fiji ground frog). Its description in RNAcentral is "Platymantis vitianus (Fiji ground frog) tRNA-Met". The record is from RNAcentral. Lineage: Eukaryota; Metazoa; Chordata; Amphibia; Anura; Ceratobatrachidae.
AAGCUAAUUAAGCUAGUGGGCCCAUCCCCCACCAAUGAAGAUCCUAACCCUUCUCUUGUCA